Molecule: ribosomal RNA, 495 nt
Filed under: Aphelinus paramali
Lineage: Eukaryota; Metazoa; Arthropoda; Insecta; Hymenoptera; Aphelinidae
Description: eukaryotic LSU rRNA
Source: RNAcentral
CCCGAAUUCGGACGUACAUGAAGAACCCAAAAGAUCGAAUGGGGAGAUUCAUCGUCAGCGGGGUCGAUUCCCGUGCGAUUUGCGAUGGCCGGUGCUUCGGUGCCGGUUCACGCUGUCGCUGCGGUAUAAUCGGCAACGUCGGCGUGCACUUCUCCCCUAGUAGGACGUCGCGACCCGUUGGGUGCCGGCCUACGGCCCGGUUGGUCGACUGUCGCGUCGCGUUCACGCGUGCUCGCGGCAGACCACUGGUCGCCCGGCCGGCUGCUCGGCGGUAUGGAUCGUAAUUGAACGGUAUUGGGCCGCAUUAUGUGCGUCCUGGCUCGUCGGCAGGCUCGCCUCGCUCGGAUUUACGGACCUAGUGCCGUUGCCGGGCGCUUGGCGCGGCUGUUAGUCGACGAUGUCCUCGGACUGGCUCUGACAUUCGUAAGGAUGUACCGGUCGGCGACGCUGCUGCUUUGGGUACUUUCAGGACCCGUCUGGAACCCGGGACAAAAA